CUAUCUUUUCUACUGUUUUCAUCUUCUCUGCUGUCUCUGUUUCUUCUACUGUUUGUACUUUCUCUGCUGCUCUCAAUUCUAUCUCUUUUAUUUAUAUCAAUUCCUCUCUCUUCUUUCAUACUGAUUUCUCACUUUCACUCACCUUUUUAGAAGUGUUGUGUAUUUUCAGUGAUUUCUCUCUUUAUUCCUCACACUUCUCUUCUGCACUCACUGCUUUCAAAAAAACAUGUUUUCAUACAUAAGUUUUAUAUAAUACAAUUCAUUUCACUAGCUAUUCAUCAGUUACAUCUCUUGCUUGAAGUAAGUAUAAAAUAUUUAGUAAUUUUAUAUAUUUCAGAGAAAACACUGUCAUUUGAACAGAUUAUACUGAGUGUAUACAAUAUCUCUCUUUUUAUUUAUAAAUUUUAUUUUAACUUAUUGUAGAUGAAAUUGUUCAGAGUCUCUAUAUUAUUGAGAUUAUAAUAGA
This 466-nucleotide small RNA is filed under the name Histoplasma capsulatum. RNAcentral describes it as "hypothetical RNA". The record is from RNAcentral. Lineage: Eukaryota; Fungi; Ascomycota; Eurotiomycetes; Onygenales; Ajellomycetaceae. RNAcentral also lists the same sequence under 1 other name.